Molecule: long non-coding RNA, 1473 nt
Organism: Megalobrama amblycephala (Wuchang bream)
Lineage: Eukaryota; Metazoa; Chordata; Actinopteri; Cypriniformes; Xenocyprididae
Exons: 2
Source: RefSeq, a predicted model, not a curated record
AACACUUUAUAAAUGUAGCCGUCUUUCCCGCUGUUAAAUUAUAUGCUACAUUCAUAUUAAUGCUGCGGCAAAUUCAAACGCACGCUCUUUCUCUCUCUCUGUCUGUCUCUGGUUUUCUAGCUCUGUCUAGUAGGUGACCUGUUGUCAGUGCGUCGAGAGAGACCAUAUAAAUUUUAUAAUGAAGCAGCAGAGCGGGAAUCAAGACUUCGUCGGGACAGCAUUCUCGCACGGAGAAGUGCAAUUACACAACAGAGGCGCUUGUUGGUUUUCAGUUAUGGUAAAUAAUGUUGAUCACUCACAGAAUCAGACACUACCGCUUUUUAUACCACACUUCCCGUUAGGAAUUAUGAUAUUGUUUGGUUCGUUGGUCCGUUAACUGGGUCGGAUUGCUUUCACAUCUCAAGCGAACCGCUCCAGAGUUCGUUUGAAAGCUUACCGAGACCACCCUUUGGUGCACACCUGAGUGUGAAAGCACCCUAAGUUUAGCUUCAAAGGGCAUCUUCAACAACAGUAUUCUAUAAAAAUUAAGACUAUAUUUUUUGCAUUCCGAUUCUGACAUACAAAGGCACAACAAAACAUUUUCCUUCUUCUUCUUGUUACCGCUAUAUUUCUGCCAUCACUAUGCAUUCGCAGCUGCAAGUGACGUAACUGUGACGUCUGCUCCAAAUUGGACUAUAGGGCUGUGAAGAACAAGCUUUGGGCUUGUUGAUGGAGUCGAUCAACUCCAUCUGUGUUUUGAUCAUUGUUCUGAAUCUCAUCCGGAUGUUGAACAAAAAUGCCAAUUUUCUCAGCUUUUUGUUUAAAAUGUUGCCUUUUUUUUAUACGAAACUUACCCACUCAUUUCUUUCACAGAAAUCUGCAGUGAGCAUUUAAUCAAUAGAUACACGCCGUUAUGUGUAUUACAUUUUUGUCUAUCACAGUGUAGACUUUACAAUAAAUUUUAUUGUUUUUAUCCUGAGCUAAUGAUAUUUAUAAGCCGCCUUAAAAGAUACCAUCUUUUGUUCAAACUCUAAGGCAGUAUCACGUGUCUUUCACUGUGAAUACAAUCCCAUAAUGCAGCGCAAAAUCCUCAGUGAAACAAUCCAUAUAAUUCUGAAAAUUAUAAAACAAAAUAGUUUCAUUUAAAAAUAGUUUAAAUAAAAGUACUCACAUUUAUUUAUUUAUUGUUUUCACCCUUAAUAAUAUUAUAUCAUCAUGAAGGGAUUCAUUAACUCUUUCAGCUCGUUUUCCUCCCUCAUAAUCACAAUCUCAAAUAAACACACAAAUGACACACAUUCUAUCAAUAGAUGUCCAGCUGUGGCGUCCUUCACAAGUUUGCCUAAUAUUGUCCAAAACUUCUUUUGAUUUUGGACAAAGGGGUCUAUAAUUCCCAAUGCAUUUUCUCCUCUAACAUUUAGUGUUUUUCAAGAAUAAUUUCUCUUUCCUCCCCUUAAAACAUUUUUUCAAAACAACAAAAAAGAACAGCAGAGAAAA